GAGAGACGGAUUCCCCGGUCCGGAACAAUGUCAGUCAGUGGACUUCCAGACCACGCUUCGCCUUCGCUUAAUCCAGCCACUGGCUCAAUGUUAUUGCUCUGCUUAGGAUGGUCAGUCACAGAACACAUGUGCAACAGUAACACACCAAUCUCAUGGAGAAUAAACAGGGGUAUUUUACAUGACAGCUUGGCUGGGAUUUUCAAAGUGGCUGUGGGAAUAUGAAAUCCGUGGUGCUGCUCCGGAAGCUAUCAAGGCAGCUGGAUGAGUUCUCUCUCUUACAAGAUUUUGUAGAACUCAGUGACUGAUCUUUCAAAACAAAGUUUGUUGGUUUUUUUUUUCAUUUUAACUUGAGAAGUUUAAGAUUCACUUUUUGCCAAACAGCAUCUCGUUCGGUCUGUGGUUUGAUCUCCCUUUCGGGGUGAGAGGCAGCUGGCUGCGGGGCUGCACUGCGAGUCCCGCUAGCUCAAUCUGCAGCAAAUGCUGCCCCUGGUGUUUCACAGCAGGAAAUACCCCAAAACCGUCCCUUGGCUUUCCAUGUUUUGUCCAGAAGACCUUGGCGAAUGCCACCAUCCCUGGACACCACCAUCAGUUUUGGAUAGGUUGUUUCAAUUUUCUUAAAAGCAAACUGUUCUUAACAUGAUCAUAACAUCCCUUGCGCUUUGUGUUACUAAACAUGCACAGGAUAAAACAUUUAAUGUAACAGGACCUGAACAAUUAAUUACUUUUUUUCCCUUCUGUUGACACUGAUUUGUGACCUUUUUACAUGAUACUGUAAUCUCACAUGAGCUGUCAUGCUUGAGCAUUUUUUCUGUGUGAAUUCCCUGUUAUUGAAGCUCUGAGUUUCCCAAGCUGGCAGCCCCUUCCAGAUCAGCAAAGCACUUAUUUGUGCUGGGUUCACAGCCAGACAUCUCAUUGUGGUAAUACCUUUACAAAAAUGGAACAAAAAGACUGAGCUGAACCUAUGUCACCUAAAAUCUCAAGUGCAUAUCUUGUUCAUCUGUGUUUAGAAAUUGUGUAUCAAAUUGCCUCAAAGUUGUAUUAAAUCCACAGGAACAACUUAAUAUCAAUCCUGAGGAUGUUACAAUUUUGGAGCUUAGAAUUUUCAGCCAUUUCUAUUAUUUGCUUUUCAGCGAGGAUUCUCGGCCGUUUUGAAGGCCUACAGUUAUACAUACAUGUAUUUCUGAGGGUAUUGCAAGCUAGGCAGGCCCCUAUCAUGCUGCUUACCUUGCAAAUUGUUUAACUUUGAAGCAGAGUCUGACUGCACUCGAGUCAGUUUUCUUGUCCUUAAAUUUUGGGCACAAGAUGCAUGCAACUACUACUCUGUUUAAACUGUAAGGUAAGCCAUUUUGAACACACCAUUUUUGGUUUUUUAUUUUUUUUAAAAAAUAAGAAUAUACUCCCCAGAGCAAUCUCAAGAAACUAGGUUUACAGGUUAUUUAAUAAACAACAGGGUAAAAAUUCACAUAAACUAUUCGGGGAAGUGGAAUCACUGAAGUGGUUAUUAUCAGGUUUUUUUCAAUAUAAUUUUGGUAGAUCAUAUUUCUUACAUUCUUUUCUCUAAUCUCUAAAUGCAGAUUAGAACUUGGCAUUUCUUUCUUCUCAGAGCAGAAUCAGAAACUCAACUUUUUAAAGUCCUUUUUAAAGUCUCUUUUGUGUAUGGUGGAUAUUUCUCUUGGAGUAGUAUUGUAUUUACACGUGUUUGUGUAUCACAUGUGUACACUAGCACACCCACUCUGUUUAUCCAGACAGACUUACAGAAGGAUAAAACCAGAAGUCUUUAUUUAUCCAAAUAAAAGUAAACUAGAGGAGCUAAGCAUGGGAAUUGCCUGCAAUUGCCUGAGGAACUGCUAAAAAUAGCUGCUUUCUGGAAACAGGAGAAGCCUUCACUGUCGAAAAAGUAACAGUAACAGCUAUCUACUAUUAGCAAACUACUUUCUUUCCAAAACCUGAAGGACACAGGGACAAAAAUCGCUUCUUGUCAUACUUCACUGUGAGAACUGGACAGAAUGUAGACUAAAGAGGGCCUUCUGUCCCAGAAGUACAUCAUGUUGGUAAGCCUGGUCCUGUGCAUAAAUACCUUGUGUGAACUUCAUCAUUAGCACCGUCUCCAGUUACAGAACUUAAACUAGAGCAGAUUAUCAAAACAUUACAGGAACUAAAGUAAUUCCCAAGUACGAUCAUUAAUCACCUGCGCCAAGUCUAAUCACAUUCUGAGCUCUCUUCAUUGUUCCAUUAAGACAGGUACUUUAUCUUAAUUAGAGCUACUGCUUCAAAAAUUAACACUAAAGACAAUUUAAAAUGUCUUAUCGGAACAAACAUUUUAUUCUCUCACCUCCUAACUCCAUUCAACUUCUCUGAUGUGGAAAAAAAACCAUGAAAGACCGGUCAGAUUUCUGACUUCUCCCAUCAUUAGAUAUUUGCACAAUUUUUUUCUGCUAGAAAUACUCUUACUGAGUAAUUCUAUAUAUAGAAAGUCUCAGGGGGUAGAGUCCUCUUUGUGCUUCAUGCUGUACAAGCACUAGCAUUUACAGACUGACCUGGAAAAUUUGAUCUAAAUUUUUUCAUAUUUACUCUUCUAAACAAUAUUUUCAUUUCCUGUGGUGAAGACAAAUGUAAACAUGAUGUAAUGAUACUUCACUUUUGCUGUCUUGCAGAAACACUUCAGAUAAAACAACAGCCACAAAAACAUUAUCACUUCCUCCAAUCUCAGUGAGGGGAAUAUCAGGGUUUAACAGAGACUAUACACACAAACAUCGUAUAUACACACAAAUAUCGUUUAACAGAGACUAUACACACAAACCCUGCAAAAUCAAAUCAAAUAUCUGUUUCUUGCUGAAAUAGAAAUCAGUGGUGGCAAUUUGAGGCAUUUUCUUAGUCCCACUGGUGAUAGCACACACAAGGUUAGUAAACCUCCAGAAGCACUUUCUACCUAAGAAACUUCAGCAGGAUUCUUUUGGAUCCCUGUUAGCAACAGAAAAACACUCUUCUGGGAAAAAAAAGUGCCUGCAGGAACAAGUAGUAGAUAGCUUUCACUUUUUAGGUGCAUGGAGAGGAGGUGGGAAACAAGGUCUGGGAUAUUAAAAAAUUGCUCACUGAACAAUUUGGCCAUUUUAAUUUUCAAUCAAAAUGUAUGCAUUCUUGAAAUACUACCUUUAAUCAGCAAGCCAGAAUUUCCCAAACUUAUUUCUUAAUUUGGUAGCAAACAGUUUAAAUGUAGCAAAAUGAAGGAAAAGGAAUAGAGAAUUCCUUCAGCUUUGGUAACCAGGGAGACAGAUAUGAGACAUACCAAAUCUCAGAAUUUUAUAUAUCUAACUCACAGUUUUGGAAGAAGGUAUGGAAAGAAUAUCUUCAACAUAAGUUGAACAAAUCUCAAUCUGUAUACUGAGAAUUUUCAUUUUGGUUUUGUAAAUCUUGUAUCUGUAUGUGGAAAAAAGGAGAACUGAUGUUAUUAGCUCUCUCUAAUAGCAUAUAAACCAUUGCCUAGUUUCAACUCCUUAAAAAAGUAAAACCAGUUCAUUUCUUACAAUGAAUGCUGGAAAAAGGGUAGUGAAUGACAAAUCUAAGGUGCAGUCUCUGAAUAAAAAACUCAGCAGAUGUUCACUGUUAAGCUAUACACCUGUUAGCAGUUGCCCUUCCAAUCAAGCUAUUUGUUUCCAGUAGAGUGGUAAAUCUUACAGACAAAUCCAUGAGAAAUCAGGUUUCAUUAGUUUUGCUUUUGAGAGAGUAACCUGUUAAAAGAAUUCAGAGUGUAAACAGUAUCUUGCCUUUCACUAGGUUGCCAUAUUAGCCACAAAAGACUAAUAAUGUGCAUAGAGCAAGAUGUAGGAACAGUUCCUAACUGGAUUCAAAACGCUGUGCCUCACAUCUUAUCUUAGACUACAUCUGAUUCAUUUCAUAUGCAGCACAAAAUACAGGGACAGAAACAUUGAAUGAUUUGGGUUGGAAGAUUAUAAUGGCCUGGGACAUCUUCCAUUAGACCAGGUUGCUCUGACCCAUCCUGACCCAACCUUACACGCUUCCAGGAAUGGGGCAUGCACAGCUUUUCUGGGCAACCUGUGCUAGUGCCUCACCACCUUCACCCCAAAGAUUUUCUUCCCGACAUCCAUCUAUACCUACCCUCCUUAAAUUUAAAACUUGUUAGUUGUCCUGUCACUACAGGCCUUGGUAGAAAAGUCCCUCCCCAUCUUUCUUGUAUGCCCACUUUAAGUACUGAAAGGCUGCAAAAAGUCUCCUUUGUGCCUUCUCUUCUCCAGACUGAACAGCCCCAGCUCUCUCAGCCUGUCUUCAUGAGAGAGGUGCUCCAGCCCUCUGAUCAAUUUAGUGGCCCUCUGAUCAAUUGGACCCGCUCCAGCAGGUCCAUGUCUUUCCUGUGCUGAGGACCCCAGAGCUGGAUGCGGCACUCCAAGUGCGGUCUCACUAGAGUGGAGUAGAGAGGCGAAAUCCCCUCCUUUGACCUGCUGGCCAAGCUGGUUUUGAUGCAGCCAGGACAUGGUUGGCUUUCUGGGCUGCAAAGGCACAUUGCUGGCACAUGUCCAGUUUUUCAGGAUGGACGGUAUCUUAUUUAACACUUCCUAACCCCUCAAAAAUCUACUCUGAUUUGGGUUUCAUGUAAUUCUGGUAAGCCAUGCAUUCUGCUUCUGAAUAACUCCUACAUUCUGUUAAGUUACACUGUAAGAAUUCCCACUUAUCUUGCAUGGGCACAUUAAUCCAUUCUCUUAGGCUUGCAGUUACUGCAAGUUUCUGCCAUUAUGUUUGCACAACAUAAUUUGAUGUUUAAAAUCUGAGUAAAUUGCCCCAGCUGCUUAUCAGAGACAGCAAUGAGGGCCCAUGUGUUCAUUUAGAUGGCUAAGCCAGACUCAGUCUGUAUGACGCCUAUAAUAUGACUCAUCACCUACUCUCUCAAGAGAGGAAUGACUACUGUGCUGCAAAUGUAGUCAGGACCGCAGAAUAUUUCCUCUGUUGCCUUGCAACUGUCUAUACUGAUUCCUCAGAGGAGAAAUAGAUCUUUGCAUUUGGGUUCUGUUUAUUGUAACUAUCAUUCUAACUGGCUGGACCUACUUGCAUACAGUGAGCAAUAAGGAAGGUAAGAUGCAGUCAUAAGUUCUUAUAUAACAUAGCCUUACCUUUCCAAACACACUUUUUUCAAAAGACCUCAGCAACUCCUACCUUUCCUACUAUACAGCUCAAUAUACAUAGGUGGAAGUUUUAUUUCGCGAGUAAAUAGAUACUGAGCUGUUAUUUCUAAGAACAGAAGGAAACUUAAAAUGAUUUAUGCAGUAAGACUGGAGGACUGAUUUGGUAAACCUUUGGGUUAUUAUUGACACAGAUGAGAAAAAAAGAUACAACACAUUAUCAAACAGCCGUUUAAAGGCAUAUAUGAAUUUCACUGUAGCCUAAAUAGAAUCUUGAAGUCCAAGCAGAGAUAAAGUGCAUGCAGAUAAAGCAGGCCAUUCAAAUUUUUAUAAGAUGUCUUUCAAAGAGCUAUAUGAUCACUUAAUCAAUUUUCUCUUCUUGAAAACUGUCUGCAUCAUCCAUGCAAUCUUCAAGAUCAUCGUAUCUCUGCAAAUGAAAUAAAACUUGUAUUAUUUUAUCAAUGUUUAAUAACUAGGUUAUGUAAAGACUGCUUUUUCUUGUUCAACACAUUACCAAACAUGUCAAUAACAAUUUAGAAAGAAUGAUAUCUGAAAGCUUGCUAAAUGCAAUUGUACUUCAAGUUGUCUUAAAAUAGUUUAUAAAGUGUUCCUAAAUAAUUCAAAGUGCUUCAGUGUAAAUAAACAGAAUUCUAAAAUA
This is a long non-coding RNA of Pseudopipra pipra, 5790 nucleotides long. RefSeq lists it as uncharacterized. The record is from RefSeq and is a predicted model, not a curated record. The transcript is spliced from 2 exons. Lineage: Eukaryota; Metazoa; Chordata; Aves; Passeriformes; Pipridae.